This is a long non-coding RNA of Ricinus communis (castor bean), 1066 nucleotides long. RefSeq lists it as uncharacterized. The transcript is spliced from 2 exons. The record is from RefSeq and is a predicted model, not a curated record. NCBI's taxonomy places the organism in Eukaryota, Viridiplantae, Streptophyta, Magnoliopsida, Malpighiales, Euphorbiaceae.
GCAGGGCAAAGAAGAUGACGAUCAGUAUGUGAAGUUGGUGGAUUCAGAAGCAAAGCUCAAAAUACGGAUUGCAUAGCUGAUAAACUACCCUACCGAGAUUAGCACCACUAUCACAUCUCCACUAUCUUAUCUGCAUGGGUUAUAUUUACAGAUUUUCUCCCAAUGGUUGUAGACCACUAAUAUCGGCAAUAAGUUCUGCAAUUUUACCAUCGUAUCAGUCUCAUAUAUAGAGGGAAUUAAAUGGAUACUCCACCUACAUUUAUUUCCUAACAAAGAGAAGUUUGCAGAGGUGAAGAGCUUGCAACGGAUAACCGUUCACAAUAAGAAAAUUAGCCAAAUUUAGUAGCUUCUUUUGAAGUUAGCUAGUAAACUCAAGCACUGUGUCUGUAAGAGGAGCAUAUAGAUGCAUAAUGUAAUUAAAAUAUAUGUAUAUAUACAUAGAGAGAGAGAGAGAGAUAGAUGGAAUGAAGCCCCACAUGGCAGCGUACCUUCUCCCUUGAGGCGUCAUAAUGCCAGUCCGAUAAUAUCUCAAGGCUUGUUUGGUAUAUAAGGAUAAGCAGCCCAGUGAACAAAGACCACAAAGACAAGUAUCCAAAUGAAUUCAGCAGCAGAGACAGUUCUAAGUGGUCCAUCAACCAGAACAGAAAAGGUCCACAAGGGGAAGCCUGGAGUUUUGCUUCUAACACUGAACACAAACAAUUCAUAUAAAAAGUGAAACAAAUCAUGAGAAACAGCAAGUCAUGCGACUAUGAAAGUUGGGCCACUGUAUAAGAAAGCAAAGCAUACCACAGACAAUACAGCGGUCGAACUAAAUAAUGCAACAUAAUAUUAAUGAAGAAAUAGUAAACCAGUUUCACCACCAGAAAGUUGCACUAGUAGAAGCAAUGUUAUAAGUUGAGGAGAUCUAAUUCAAAGUCCUCAACCUCAACUAUUGGGUUUGGUUUGCUUGACUGGCAUUUCUGUUAAUUUCUAAGGUGGAGACACUGCUUGUUACAGUAAAGUUCAAAAGAAGUCUUCACUAUUCAGUUGAUUGAUUAAAUGAAGUCAAGUUUCCAAGAGUAAAGUA